RNAcentral lists this ribosomal RNA (467 nucleotides) under uncultured bacterium. RNAcentral's name for it is "partial 16S ribosomal RNA". It matches the Rfam family "Bacterial small subunit ribosomal RNA", at positions 28 to 506 of the family's 1533-position model. The record is from RNAcentral.
GACGAACGCUGGCGGCGUGCUUAACACAUGCAAGUCGAACGGAAAGGCCCUGCUUUUGUGGGGUGCUCGAGUGGCGAACGGGUGAGUAACACGUGAGUAACCUGCCCUUGACUUUUGGAUAACUUCAGGAAACUGGGGCUAAUACCGGAUAGGAGCUCCUGCUGCAUGGUGGGGGUUGGAAAGUUUCGGCGGUUGGGGAUGGACUCGCGGCUUAUCAGCUUGUUGGUGGGGUAGUGGCUUACCAAGGCUUUGACGGGUAGCCGGCCUGAGAGGGUGACCGGCCACAUUGGGACUGAGAUACGGCCCAGACUCCUACGGGAGGCAGCAGUGGGGAAUAUUGCACAAUGGGCGGAAGCCUGAUGCAGCAACGCCGCGUGCGGGAUGACGGCCUUCGGGUUGUAAACCGCUUUCGCCUGUGACGAAGCGUGAGUGACGGUAAUGGGUAAAGAAGCACCGGCUAACUACGU